ACGCUGGCGGCAUGCCUUACACAUGCAAGUCGAACGGCAGCACGGAGCUUGCUCUGGUGGCGAGUGGCGAACGGGUGAGUAAUAUAUCGGAACGUACCCUGGAGUGGGGGAUAACGUAGCGAAAGUUACGCUAAUACCGCAUACGAUCUAUGGAUGAAAGUGGGGGAUGCGCAAGCACCUCAUGCUCGUGGAGCGGCCGAUAUCUGAUUAGCUAGUUGGUAGGGUAAAAGCCUACCAAGGCAUCGAUCAGUAGCUGGUCUGAGAGGACGACCAGCCACACUGGAACUGAGACACGGUCCAGACUCCUACGGGAGGCAGCAGUGGGGAAUUUUGGACAAUGGGCGCAAGCCUGAUCCAGCAAUGCCGCGUGAGUGAAGAAGGCCUUCGGGUUGUAAAGCUCUUUUGUCAGGGAAGAAACGGUGGGAGCUAAUAUCUCCUGCUAAUGACGGUACCUGAAGAAUAAGCACCGGCUAACUACGUGCCAGCAGCCGCGGUAAUACGUAGGGUGCAAGCGUUAAUCGGAAUUACUGGGCGUAAAGCGUGCGCAGGCGGUUUUGUAAGUCUGAUGUGAAAUCCCCGGGCUCAACCUGGGAAUUGCAUUGGAGACUGCAAGGCUAGAAUCUGGCAGAGGGGGGUAGAAUUCCACGUGUAGCAGUGAAAUGCGUAGAUAUGUGGAGGAACACCGAUGGCGAAGGCAGCCCCCUGGGUCAAGAUUGACGCUCAUGCACGAAAGCGUGGGGAGCAAACAGGAUUAGAU
RNAcentral lists this ribosomal RNA (757 nucleotides) under uncultured bacterium. Its description in RNAcentral is "bacterial SSU rRNA". It matches the Rfam family "Bacterial small subunit ribosomal RNA", at positions 33 to 783 of the family's 1533-position model. The record is from RNAcentral.